This 482-nucleotide ribosomal RNA is filed under the name uncultured bacterium. RNAcentral describes it as "partial 16S ribosomal RNA". It matches the Rfam family "Bacterial small subunit ribosomal RNA", at positions 30 to 507 of the family's 1533-position model. The record is from RNAcentral.
AUUGAACGCUGGCGGCAUGCUUUACACAUGCAAGUCGAACGGUAACAGGCCGCAAGGUGCUGACGAGUGGCGAACGGGCGAGUAAUGCAUCGGAACGUGCCCAGCCGUGGGGGAUAACUACUCGAAAGAGUAGCUAAUACCGCAAACGAUCCAUGGAUGAAAGGGGUGGACCGAAUUGCUUCUCACGGUUGGAGCGGCCGAUGUCAGAUUAGGUAGUUGGUGGGGUAAAGGCUCACCAAGCCAACGAUCUGGACCUGGACUGAGAGGACGACCAGCCACACUGGAACUGAGACACGGCCCAGACUCCUACGGGAGGCAGCAGUGGGGAAUGUUAGACAAUGGGCGCAAGCCUGAUCCAGCAAUGCCGCGUGCAGGAAGAAGGCCUUCGGGUUGUAAACGGCUUUUGUACGGAACGAAACGGCUCUGGUUAAUACCCGGGGCUAAUGACGGUACCGUAAGAAUAAGCACCGGCUAACUACGUG